Molecule: non-coding RNA, 92 nt
Organism: Irpex rosettiformis
Lineage: Eukaryota; Fungi; Basidiomycota; Agaricomycetes; Polyporales; Irpicaceae
Source: the annotation of a GenBank genome assembly
UCCCGUUUAGCUCAGCUGGUAGAGCGCGUCACUAGUAUUAUUUAUGUAAUACGGCAAUGACGAGGUCAGUCGUUCAAGUCGGCUAAUGGGAA